GAUGAACGCUGGCGGCGUGCCUAAUACAUGCAAGUCGAGCGAACGGACGAGAAGCUUGCUUUUCUGAUGUUAGCGGCGGACGGGUGAGUAACACGUGGAUAACCUACCUAUAAGACUGGGAUAACUUCGGGAAACCGGAGCUAAUACCGGAUAAUAUUUUGAACCGCAUGGUUCAAAAGUGAAAGACGGUCUUGCUGUCACUUAUAGAUGGAUCCGCGCUGCAUUAGCUAGUUGGUAAGGUAACGGCUUACCAAGGCAACGAUGCAUAGCCGACCUGAGAGGGUGGUCGGCCACACUGGAACUGAGACACGGUCCAGACUCCUACGGGAGGCAGCAGUAGGGAAUCUUCCGCAAUGGGCGAAAGCCUGACGGAGCAACGCCGCGUGAGUGAUGAAGGUCUUCGGAUAGUAAAACUCUGUUAUUAGGGAAGAACAUAUGUGUAAGUAACUGUGCACAUCUUGACGGUACCUAAUCAGAAAGCCACGGCUAACUACGUG
This 497-nucleotide ribosomal RNA is filed under the name uncultured bacterium. RNAcentral describes it as "partial 16S ribosomal RNA". It matches the Rfam family "Bacterial small subunit ribosomal RNA", at positions 28 to 507 of the family's 1533-position model. The record is from RNAcentral.